CCUACGGGUGGCUGCAGUGGGGAAUAUUGGACAAUGGGCGAAAGCCUGAUCCAGCCAUGCCGCGUGUGUGAAGAAGGCCUUCGGGUUGUAAAGCACUUUCAGUGGGGAAGAAAGCCUUGGGGCUAAUACCCUCGAGGAAGGACAUCACCCACAGAAGAAGCACCGGCUAACUCCGUGCCAGCAGCCGCGGUAAUACGGAGGGUGCGAGCGUUAAUCGGAAUUACUGGGCGUAAAGCGCGCGUAGGCGGUCUGAUAAGCCGGUUGUGAAAGCCCCGGGCUCAACCUGGGAACGGCAUCUGGAACUGUCAGGCUAGAGUGCAGGAGAGGAAGGUAGAAUUCCCGGUGUAGCGGUGAAAUGCGUAGAGAUCGGGAGGAAUACCAGUGGCGAAGGCGGCCUUCUGGGCUGACACUGACGCUGAGGUGCGAAAGCGUGGGUAGCAAACAGGAUUAGAUACCCCAGUAGUC
RNAcentral lists this ribosomal RNA (465 nucleotides) under Vreelandella stevensii. Its description in RNAcentral is "partial 16S ribosomal RNA". It matches the Rfam family "Bacterial small subunit ribosomal RNA", at positions 338 to 795 of the family's 1533-position model. Lineage: Bacteria; Pseudomonadati; Pseudomonadota; Gammaproteobacteria; Oceanospirillales; Halomonadaceae. The record is from RNAcentral.